CAACGAAUCUUCCCCAAUGCCGGAAACGGUGAGGGAGCGACGCCGCGUGAAGGACGAAGUUCUUCGGAAUGUAAACUUCUGUUAGGGUUCUGAAAGCAAUGCGCGUGAACAAUGCGCAAAGUUGAUCUGACCCAAAGAAAGGGACGGCUAACUCUGUGCCAGCAGCCGCGGUAAUACAGAGGUCCCAAGCGUUACUGAGAAUCACUGGGUUUAAAGGGUGCGUAGGUGGUCCGUUAAGUUCGUUGUGAAAUCCCCGGGCUCAACCCGGGAACUGCUUCGAAUACUGGCGGACUUGAGGCCAGUAGGGGUCACUAGAACUGACGGUGGAGCGGUGAAAUGCGUAGAUAUCGUCAGGAAUGCCGGUGGUGAAGACGGGUGACUGGGCUGGUUCUGACACUGAGGCACGAAAGCGUGGGGAGCGAACGGGAUUAGAUACCCCCGUAGUCC
RNAcentral lists this ribosomal RNA (447 nucleotides) under uncultured bacterium. RNAcentral describes it as "bacterial SSU rRNA". It matches the Rfam family "Bacterial small subunit ribosomal RNA", at positions 355 to 796 of the family's 1533-position model. The record is from RNAcentral.